CCAAAAUUUGUUGAAUUUGCUUCAAUCUUUUUUUCAUAAGUUUUCCUUAAAAGCAACAUUAUAAAAGCACUUAAUGUCUGUCAGGAACUGUCGUUAGUAAUUAAUUCCUUGGCCUCAUAAAAUCUAAAAAACGGUCAAAAAAUAGAGCAGCACAAAUUUUUAUCUUCUCCCACUCCCUGCAAGGGUGGUUCUCUACCCUUUCAACUCAGGUGCAUCAGGUCCUCCUCCAACACCCCUGACAGGUGUGACUGACCCUGACUUUAAUUAGACAGUUAAGAGGCGAUCCAGUCCAAAAGCAGCCGGGAAAACAGCCAAUACCGUCUGUACUUAGACACUCCCUCACCCCUCCCCUGCAUUUUACCUUCUUUGCCUUUAGCUUCUGAGGCAUAGCUAUCCUACACAGUCUCCCAUUUUCUCAGCAAAUGCCCUCCAGCCGUGAACUCAACAUUCACAGACUUGCUCUAAUUAUUCGAUUGUGAAGUUUUUGCAGAUAAUUCCCCACAGGUGACAAACGUUCCAUUAGGUCUGCCCAGUGAGCAGACGGAUAAGUCACUCUGACAAGCACCGAACGUUCGCCCAAUGAAUGGAUGGGGGACCCAAGUUCAGUUCCCAGUACCGUGUCGGGCAGCCCCCCACCUGUGUUCUCUCACCUCUGACAUCCUCAGGCGCCUGCAGUCGCUUGCACGUACCUCCACAUAAACACAGACAAGUAGAUGCAAUCCAAGCUGGACUGCUACCAGAGGACCCCCUCCCCGGGAUACUUUGGGUA
Molecule: long non-coding RNA, 769 nt
Organism: Meriones unguiculatus (Mongolian gerbil)
Lineage: Eukaryota; Metazoa; Chordata; Mammalia; Rodentia; Muridae
Exons: 3
Source: RefSeq, a predicted model, not a curated record